GGGUUGUGAGGUUAAGCGACUAAGCGUACACGGUGGAUGCCCUGGCAGUCAGAGGCGAUGAAGGACGUGCUAAUCUGCGAUAAGCGUCGGUAAGGUGAUAUGAACCGUUAUAACCGGCGAUUUCCGAAUGGGGAAACCCAGUGUGUUUCGACACACUAUCAUUAACUGAAUCCAUAGGUUAAUGAGGCGAACCGGGGGAACUGAAACAUCUAAGUACCCCGAGGAAAAGAAAUCAACCGAGAUUCCCCUAGUAGCGGCGAGCGAACGGGGAGCAGCCCAGAGCCUGAAUCAGUGUGUGUGUUAGUGGAAGCGUCUGGAAAGGCGCGCGAUACAGGGUGACAGCCCCGUACACAAAAAUGCACAUGCUGUGAGCUCGAUGAGUAGGGCGGGACACGUGGUAUCCUGUCUGAAUAUGGGGGGACCAUCCUCCAAGGCUAAAUACUCCUGACUGACCGAUAGUGAACCAGUACCGUGAGGGAAAGGCGAAAAGAACCCCGGCGAGGGGAGUGAAAAAGAACCUGAAACCGUGUACGUACAAGCAGUGGGAGCACGCUUAGGCGUGUGACUGCGUACCUUUUGUAUAAUGGGUCAGCGACUUAUAUUCUGUAGCAAGGUUAACCGAAUAGGGGAGCCGAAGGGAAACCGAGUCUUAACUGGGCGUUAAGUUGCAGGGUAUAGACCCGAAACCCGGUGAUCUAGCCAUGGGCAGGUUGAAGGUUGGGUAACACUAACUGGAGGACCGAACCGACUAAUGUUGAAAAAUUAGCGGAUGACUUGUGGCUGGGGGUGAAAGGCCAAUCAAACCGGGAGAUAGCUGGUUCUCCCCGAAAGCUAUUUAGGUAGCGCCUCGUGAAUUCAUCUCCGGGGGUAGAGCACUGUUUCGGCAAGGGGGUCAUCCCGACUUACCAACCCGAUGCAAACUGCGAAUACCGGAGAAUGUUAUCACGGGAGACACACGGCGGGUGCUAACGUCCGUCGUGAAGAGGGAAACAACCCAGACCGCCAGCUAAGGUCCCAAAGUCAUGGUUAAGUGGGAAACGAUGUGGGAAGGCCCAGACAGCCAGGAUGUUGGCUUAGAAGCAGCCAUCAUUUAAAGAAAGCGUAAUAGCUCACUGGUCGAGUCGGCCUGCGCGGAAGAUGUAACGGGGCUAAACCAUGCACCGAAGCUGCGGCAGCGACGCUUAUGCGUUGUUGGGUAGGGGAGCGUUCUGUAAGCCUGCGAAGGUGUGCUGUGAGGCAUGCUGGAGGUAUCAGAAGUGCGAAUGCUGACAUAAGUAACGAUAAAGCGGGUGAAAAGCCCGCUCGCCGGAAGACCAAGGGUUCCUGUCCAACGUUAAUCGGGGCAGGGUGAGUCGACCCCUAAGGCGAGGCCGAAAGGCGUAGUCGAUGGGAAACAGGUUAAUAUUCCUGUACUUGGUGUUACUGCGAAGGGGGGACGGAGAAGGCUAUGUUGGCCGGGCGACGGUUGUCCCGGUUUAAGCGUGUAGGCUGGUUUUCCAGGCAAAUCCGGAAAAUCAAGGCUGAGGCGUGAUGACGAGGCACUACGGUGCUGAAGCAACAAAUGCCCUGCUUCCAGGAAAAGCCUCUAAGCAUCAGGUAACAUCAAAUCGUACCCCAAACCGACACAGGUGGUCAGGUAGAGAAUACCAAGGCGCUUGAGAGAACUCGGGUGAAGGAACUAGGCAAAAUGGUGCCGUAACUUCGGGAGAAGGCACGCUGAUAUGUAGGUGAAGUCCCUCGCGGAUGGAGCUGAAAUCAGUCGAAGAUACCAGCUGGCUGCAACUGUUUAUUAAAAACACAGCACUGUGCAAACACGAAAGUGGACGUAUACGGUGUGACGCCUGCCCGGUGCCGGAAGGUUAAUUGAUGGGGUCAGCGCAAGCGAAGCUCUUGAUCGAAGCCCCGGUAAACGGCGGCCGUAACUAUAACGGUCCUAAGGUAGCGAAAUUCCUUGUCGGGUAAGUUCCGACCUGCACGAAUGGCGUAAUGAUGGCCAGGCUGUCUCCACCCGAGACUCAGUGAAAUUGAACUCGCUGUGAAGAUGCAGUGUACCCGCGGCAAGACGGAAAGACCCCGUGAACCUUUACUAUAGCUUGACACUGAACAUUGAGCCUUGAUGUGUAGGAUAGGUGGGAGGCUUUGAAGUGUGGACGCCAGUCUGCAUGGAGCCGACCUUGAAAUACCACCCUUUAAUGUUUGAUGUUCUAACGUUGACCCGUGAUCCGGGUUGCGGACAGUGUCUGGUGGGUAGUUUGACUGGGGCGGUCUCCUCCUAAAGAGUAACGGAGGAGCACGAAGGUUGGCUAAUCCUGGUCGGACAUCAGGAGGUUAGUGCAAUGGCAUAAGCCAGCUUGACUGCGAGCGUGACGGCGCGAGCAGGUGCGAAAGCAGGUCAUAGUGAUCCGGUGGUUCUGAAUGGAAGGGCCAUCGCUCAACGGAUAAAAGGUACUCCGGGGAUAACAGGCUGAUACCGCCCAAGAGUUCAUAUCGACGGCGGUGUUUGGCACCUCGAUGUCGGCUCAUCACAUCCUGGGGCUGAAGUAGGUCCCAAGGGUAUGGCUGUUCGCCAUUUAAAGUGGUACGCGAGCUGGGUUUAGAACGUCGUGAGACAGUUCGGUCCCUAUCUGCCGUGGGCGCUGGAGAACUGAGGGGGGCUGCUCCUAGUACGAGAGGACCGGAGUGGACGCAUCACUGGUGUUCGGGUUGUCAUGCCAAUGGCACUGCCCGGUAGCUAAAUGCGGAAGAGAUAAGUGCUGAAAGCAUCUAAGCACGAAACUUGCCCCGAGAUGAGUUCUCCCUGACCCUUUAAGGGUCCUGAAGGAACGUUGAAGACGACGACGUUGAUAGGCCGGGUGUGUAAGCGCAGCGAUGCGUUGAGCUAACCGGUACUAAUGAACCGUGAGGCUUAACCUUACAACGCCGAAGGUGUUU
RNAcentral lists this ribosomal RNA (2931 nucleotides) under Escherichia coli. RNAcentral describes it as "23S ribosomal RNA". It matches the Rfam family "Bacterial large subunit ribosomal RNA". The record is from RNAcentral. Lineage: Bacteria; Pseudomonadati; Pseudomonadota; Gammaproteobacteria; Enterobacterales; Enterobacteriaceae.